Molecule: unclassified non-coding RNA, 240 nt
Filed under: soil metagenome
Description: partial contains 5.8S ribosomal RNA, internal transcribed spacer 2, and large subunit ribosomal RNA
Source: RNAcentral
AACCUAGCACACCUGCGGUGUGUACCUGCGGAAGGAUCAUUACCGAGUUUACAACUCCCAAACCCAAUGUGAACCAUACCAAACUGUUGCCUCGGCGGGGUCACGCCCCGGGUGCGUCGCAGCCCCGGAACCAGGCGCCCGCCGGAGGGACCAACCAAACUCUUUACUGUAGUCCCCUCGCGGACGUUAUUUCUUACAGCUCUGAGCAAAAAUUCAAAAUGAAUCAAAACUUUCAACAAC